CCGCACUUUAAUCCAUCCCGCCUCUCGGAGCCGAAGACGGUGGAACCAUCGCGCCCGCGAUAGAUGCGGAGCCGCCUGCAACAGCCGCUGCAGACGAGAGAGAGAGGCAUUGGAGGGGAGUAAUAAAAAACACCCUUGUGGAAGGGACUAUGAUUCAAGCAUUCCCAGUUGUUAUACAGAAUAACGGACUGAAAAGAUGGGAGGCGUUUGACUGGAAAGUCCUUGAGAAAUUAAAGACUGCUGUGAGUCAAUAUGGAAUCAAAUCUACCCUUUCUGAUAAAGCCAGUAAGAAACCCUUGGUCAAGUGUUUUAAUUGUGGCAAACUUGGACACAUCAGGAGCCAAUGUAAAGCUUCUGCUAGUAAAAGGUGGUGCAACAGUUGUAAGAAAGAUAAACACCCACCCAAGAAUGUAGAAAGAAGGGAAACUUUACACCGAGCGCGAAGGCCCCUCGCGCGACGACACAAAUGCAAGGGGCUUGGGCUGCCAGCCCUCAGGCAGCCUCACAACUGCCAGAUCCGCCACUGCAGGAAGCUCCGGAGUGGACGUGGAAACCGCAGUAGACAU
Molecule: long non-coding RNA, 566 nt
Organism: Aquila chrysaetos chrysaetos
Lineage: Eukaryota; Metazoa; Chordata; Aves; Accipitriformes; Accipitridae
Exons: 2
Source: RefSeq, a predicted model, not a curated record